CAUGGCUGUCUCUACUAUGCAUCUUUGUGUUGUCCUGUAAUUACUAGCAACCUGCCCAUAGUGUCGGCUGACCACCGAGAUGGGAACCAAUGCCACCAACACUGUGACCUUACAAGGGCAAGCUGAUAUAGGAACUCGAUAGGUUUGCUUUCCUCCUGGAAGCUGAACCUUACCCUGGUUUUAAGCCUUCUGCAAUUUCCUGACAGCUUUUCCAAGCGGAUGGCCCUGUAUCUACCUCCAUCCAUCUUGCGAUCAACUCUGACCUGCUGAAGAAAUGCAUCCCCAUGGUGCAAUGCUGAAAACCACCAUGAUAGAUUUCCUUCACGUAGCAUUUGCAUGUAAGCCAAAAGUUACAUUUGACCAGAAAACUUCACAUGUUUUUUGUGUCCUCUUAGUGGUUUUAAGAAAAAAACUAAAUGACUCAAUUUUGGACUCAGUUUUGUUCCAACAAUGACCUUAUUGUUGCUGAUUUUCCAGAUUUGUAGAGUUCAUUACUUUUUACAGAUUGCUAACAACUUCUCACAGCUAAGCUAUGAGUCUUUGCAGCUUUUACAGUCUCUUGGCUGCUUCUUUGAUGAAUGUUUUCCUUGCUGAACCUAUGAGUUUAGAUCAACAUCCAUGUCUUGGUGGGUUACAGUUGCACUCUAUGCCUUUCAUUUUAUAGAUCACGUAGUGGUUCCUGACAUGUUCAAAGCUUGCUUCAUUUUUUUAAAUAACCUAACCCUGCUUUGAACUUCUUUACCAUUUUAUCCCUAACCUGAUCUGUCUGAUGUGUUCCUUGGCCUUAAUGAUGCGGUUUGUCCUCUUAUUUUCUCAAAACAACAUUCAUCAAUGAGUGACUGCAUUGCUGAGCAAUAUCUCAAGACAUUCAGCUUACCUUAUGAGAACAUUUCAAUGACAUGACGUUUUUGCUCUUAGACUAAUACACUGAAUACUGAGCUUGGUGCUAAAAAUUACACGGACAAAAUCAACUUGGAUGCUUUGAGUUUGUAGUUAGAAAACUUAAACCAGUAUUAAGUUUACUUCCACUAAUAAAGGGGGGAACAAAAAACUAUAUUUCUUGCUGCUUAGUUGCUGAGACAACAGACAUGUGGAGUCUCUUGAGGACAAUAAUUAGGCUUCUGUGACGGCAUAUCAGCCUGCUGGAAUUGUUUCCUACCUAAUUUUCUAGUUAUAAAAGCCAACGCUGUCUCAGUCAGGUUAUUAUAACAUUACAGUUUUUGCAUCUCAUUAUAUUACUUUAAAUUUGGCACACAUGUUCCUGAAUAAUACAGCUAAAUUGUUUGCUAAUUUAUCUGAAUUUAGAUACUGCAUAUGAGAUGAGGCCCUUCAUUAUAGUGGUAAAACUUGUUCUAGCAAACAGGAAAAAAAAAACAAACAAACAAUACAUUGUAAAUAGAUACAUAAUGACUUACUGCUGUCACUGCAUGCACCAUUGUUUGGUUGCAUUAUUUUGCAUGCAUAAUGUCCACUGGUUAUUAUUGCUAUAAAUUAUUUGCAUGCCCUUAUUAUCAUCAAUAAAAUUGAAACCGAGAUUUUGUUGCUAUUAAAGCCAUUUAUCU
Molecule: long non-coding RNA, 1562 nt
Organism: Poecilia latipinna (sailfin molly)
Lineage: Eukaryota; Metazoa; Chordata; Actinopteri; Cyprinodontiformes; Poeciliidae
Exons: 2
Source: RefSeq, a predicted model, not a curated record